This is a long non-coding RNA of Leopardus geoffroyi (Geoffroy's cat), 4441 nucleotides long. RefSeq lists it as uncharacterized. The record is from RefSeq and is a predicted model, not a curated record. Lineage: Eukaryota; Metazoa; Chordata; Mammalia; Carnivora; Felidae. The transcript has 2 exons.
GACCCUCAUUUUACAGAAGAGGCGAGAUCUCAAGAAAUGAAGUUAAACGCCCAAGGCCAGAGACGAUGAUGGUGCUGGGUCGGUAACCCAGGUUUCAUAUUGUACUUCAGUAAAUGAGAUCAUUGCUUUUUUUUUUUUUAGGGACACUCAGAAAUGUUGCCGUGGAUGGAUUCCUCCCAAGGCUGGUCCUGACACAAAGAUUCAAGUGUAAGGAGUGUAUUUGGGAAGCACGGGAGCAGAGUGGGUAAGUGAGACAGGGAAGGGAAAGCAGUCCUAAAGGGAAGGUUAUCACACAGGUUCCCACCACGGGUCACAGGAGUUCAAUCUUGCCGGGAGACUCUGGGGGAUAAUGUAAAACACAGCUCAGAGCUGUCCCAUCUGAGGGGUGAGGAAGCUGGGGUAUUAAUCCUCCAAUCCUCCAAUUUCAUUCUUCAUUGCCUGAAGCCUCUAGCGAGAACAUUCAUUCCCAAGCACUUUGGGCCUGCCCUGCCCGCAGGCUGAGAAAAAAACUCUCAGACCAAGAACCGUAGCUACUGGGAGCAGGACGCUGUCCAGGUACGCAUGAGAACGUGAAUGUCAAGAGCACACAGGUAGGCAUCAGGAGCAGCUGUCAGAGACGCAAAGACCCACACUGAACGGCGAGUCCAGUCACGUAUUCAGUUCAUGAAUCAAACACCCUGGGCUUGUAGAAAUUGCUGGAAAUUAUUUUUAAAUACUUAUCUUUAUGCUUGGAACCGUUUAUGCCAUUCAGUUUUGGACCCCCUCCCCCCUCCAAAGCAGAGUUGUCCCUCGUGAAGCCACAGGCCCUGGGGAGUUGCCAUUUACGGGGCCGCCAGACCCACAGCUGCACUUUUUAUUCCUCUCUUUGAAGCGGUUGCUGCUUUCCCAGCCCUAGUCCCUAACUUUCAAAACAGGAGAGCUCAAACAACCCCAACUCCACCAAAGGCCACCAAGGUCUCUAACCACGCUGGUUUCUGAGGGUGUGUGCAGGGUGAGCAAAGGUAGCGAUGGGCCUGGGGGAAGAAAGGCGUGGCAUCACUUCCCAGAAUCCAGUGUUCUGGGCACCACCAGCCACACCGGCCUCCUCGCCACCUUCUUCGGGCCGCAUUCUCUAAGGUGCUGCCACUGAAACAUACAAUUUUCCGCCCCUGACAUCAGGUCGUGUUGCCAACCCUCUGAGUUCCUUCCAAAGACCCAUCAGCUGCCAGGGCAUCAUGAGUGUGACCUGGGAAAAGUGUGUUAACGUAGGGGGAGACACACACACACACACACACACACAAUGACCUUUCAGCCUGCAGACUCUGAAGAAGCCUUUCUUUCUCUCAGUAGGUGAGAGAAAUCAUCAUCAAAGGAAGAACACGGUGAAAUAUCACACUCAUAGACUCCCUUAAUUUGGCUUUGUAAUUAACUGUGUUAAGUGCUGACAAGACUUUUGCAGAGAAAAUGCAUACUAACGGGAAGAGAGGGCAAACCGACAACCUAUUGGACGCUUUGGUAUUUACGUCCCGUCAUCUUCAAAAUGGCCCUCAGAAUAGGCAUUACUACUAACCCCAUUGUACGGGCCACAAAACAAGAUGGAGAGAGGCCUGCCCAAGGUCACGGAAGCCAAGGGACUACAUCGGUGCCCACCUUCCUAGGGGGAGUCAGCCUUGUGUGCUCAGUACUCGGAAGUGAUGACUCCCUGGUUGCUUGAAACAUGUUUUUUUAAACCCCUAACUUAAAAGACAAUAGCCUUAUAAAAAAGGGUGUCGAAAACUAUGCAAAGGACUUAAGAGUAAUAAACCGUCUAACCACACGCGCUCAUGCACUUGAGAAGAUUCCAUAUAAAGCCACUGUCAGUGACCUUCCCUUUUGCAAGAGCUUUGACCUGCCCACAUUUCUUCGAUGCCCCAGCACUCGAGCGUGCCGGAGAGGGCAGACGUCUGCCAGCAACUUAAGAGGCCAUUUUGGCGAUGGUUGUUGUUCAUCAUAGAAAAUUCCACACAGGUCUUUGGUAGGCACUGCUCUGCAGGCCCGAUACUCGUGGUACCAGGAGAUUCCGCAUCUCUACAUUACAGGCCUCGUGCCAGGUGCAGUUCUAUGGGUAGGUAAAUGAUUCCCAUUUCACAGAUGAGGAAACUGAGUCUCAGGGAGGUCAGACAAGUGCCCGAGUCGUGCACCAGUGAGCGGCAGGGACAGGAUUCGAUCCUAGGCGAGCAGUCUGUUUACCCUAGCCCCCAGCUCCAGCCCCAGCGCCUUCCUUGGGCUGGGCUCUUUCCAACAAGGCUGACAUUUUCACUGAAGUACCCAAAUCUCACCUCUUCCCUGGAGACAGUCUACAAAAAUCGCCUCAUGGUAACGUCUCAUGCUCUCUGAAGCAAGGUGAGGGGAGAGCAGCUCAAAGCACACUUCUGGUGCCGCCCGCCCGCCCGCCUGCCUGCCUGCCUGCCUUCCUGCCUGCCUGCCUCCCUGCCUGCCUGCCUUCCUUCCUUCCUUCCUUCCUUCCUUCCUUCCUUCCAUACUGUUACUGAAUCCUCCUUCCUGCUACUCAACUCUCCCGGGGCCGUGCUGUCUGCCUCCUGUCCCCUCAAGGGCAGAAACUGCAUUAUUUCAUGUCUGUUUCCUGGGGCUCCAGCACCGACCAGCACAUCAUCAGGGCUGAAGAAGUGUGCCUGGAUGGAUUGAUUAAUUUACAUAGAAAUGGCUUCCGCUUUGUCCUAAUUAAAGCCAGAGCAAAGAAGCCUUCCUGACCUCCAGGGCUGAUUCAUGCUACCAAUUAUGGAGACAUUCCGAGCCGAAUUCUUAUAUAUUUAAGACAAUUUUGAAAAGGCAAUUGUUAAAGGUUUGGAGGGGAGUCUGCUUUUGUGUUUUCCAGUAUAUUUUAGGAGACCCCCAAUUCCCCACACACUCUAUAUGAGGCGGAUGGUCCACCCAAGUAUUUAUUGGGUACAUUCUAGAUGCCAGCUCCCGAGGACACGGGGAUCAACACACAUGAAUCAGGUCCCUGCUCCAUGGGCGACACGGUCCAGGAGAAGAGACACACGAUGAUUCAACCAUCGCAGUUUGUGUAAGUGCCAAGGGCAGAAAGCGGAUCUCUAACAAAGGAACGUCACCAGUUAGGGAGGGGUCAGAACAGACCUCCCUGGGAAGGCUGAGGAGUCAUCUGAGGGCAGGAAUCAGGUCUGGUGAGGGUGGGGAGAGCGUUCGGCUGGUGCAGAAGCCCUGUGGGGACCUGAGAGUAGGCGGUGUGGUUAGAGCAGAGCGCAGAGCAGGUGAGGGCGGCAGGGAGGAAGACACGGUGGGCUGGGCCCACCCACAGCGUCUCCGGGGCCAAGCUCAGGAUUGUAGACUAAGAUUAGUGGGUAACAUCCCCAUUUCACGGAUGAGGAAAUAGAGACGCAGAGAUGUCAAGUGACUUGCCCCGAAUUAAGCGGCAGGGUUGGGAUUCAAACGCAGACAGUCUGGCUUCAAAGCAAGGUGUGAAGGUAUUGGAGGCUCUGUGAUACAUCAGGUGAUCGCACAGGGCUCUCGUACGAGAUGUGUAAAAUGCUUCCAUGGACAAAUCUCUGGGGGGGGGGACUGCAGUGGUAUAAGGCAAUCAUUAGCCAUUGAAAGGGCUGGAGCUGUUGGGGGAAGGGGUGGCAGUGGGGAGCCUGGGGCUGGAGGGUGGAAAACAGAAGAGGAAGUCGAUGGGGCUAACGGGAAAGCCCUGCCGGGACACCUGCCGGAGGAGACAGGCUGGGACCCCAGCGGCCCAGCAGCAGAGAAACAGAGGGGAUGAAGCUCCCCCAGCUGCCACCGAAGAGCCAGAAGCUGCAAGGAUGAAAGGCACAGGUCAACAGGGGCCACCAAAGAGGGAAACAAACAAACAACAGAAGUAAACGGGAUGCAGUUGGGUUUUAGCCGACCUCCGGUCCUAUGGACUCCAUACCAUCACCUCCCAAACAAGAAAUCUCGUGAGAACAAAACUUACAAGCUCUCUGGGGACGAAUCAAAUCCUGAUGAGAAUGCCCCCACCCCCCAUGCUUUUUAAGAGCUACUGUGAGCUGAUUUUUUUAAGGAAAAUGUGCGAAGCGGCAAGAAGUGAAUAAAUAAUUCAAAGACUCUGAGUUGGAGUCUGUAUGGACCCUGGGCAGCUUGGGUUCAUUUCGGUUUUACGCUGCUUGUCUGCACUGGGAAUGUGCAGGGAGCAAAUUUUUUCCCCUAGAAAAACAGCGCGUCAGCUCUCUUUGCCGGCUCAGUAACACUAAAGGCAUUGCAGCGUUAGCCAAACUGAAGCCAAAUGAAGUCAUCCACCGCAUGUGACACUUCCUUGUCCCCCGACUGCUCUGCAUUUCUCCUUUGAUCGCUCUUCCUAAGUGUGCCUGUGUUUUCCUGUGUUUCUUAUACGUACAACACAUCGGCUUCUCGCUAGCGAUUUUUAGCUCUCUGACACACAAUAAAAGCAUCCGUUUCCAGCUCA